GCGGACGUGGCUCAGUGGUAGAGCAUCACCUUGCCAAGGUGAGGGUCGCGGGUUCAAAUCCCGUCGUCCGCU
Molecule: transfer RNA, 72 nt
Organism: Actinospica robiniae DSM 44927
Lineage: Bacteria; Bacillati; Actinomycetota; Actinomycetes; Catenulisporales; Actinospicaceae
Rfam family: tRNA
About the family: Transfer RNA (tRNA) molecules are approximately 80 nucleotides in length.
Source: Rfam